AAGCUAUGAUGACAUUUUUUAACCUUAGACUUAGUUGUCAUGUCUUACUAUGCCAGAAGUUUGGGCUGAUGGCUAAAGUAAGGCAACAGCUUUGCUAAUGCUGUAACACUUCCAUGGCUCUGAGAUU
Molecule: small nucleolar RNA, 127 nt
Filed under: Bombyx mori (domestic silkworm)
Lineage: Eukaryota; Metazoa; Arthropoda; Insecta; Lepidoptera; Bombycidae
Description: Bm_29
Source: RNAcentral